This 407-nucleotide long non-coding RNA is filed under the name Daucus carota (carrot). RNAcentral's name for it is "long non-coding RNA (DCAR_LNC000407)". The record is from RNAcentral. Lineage: Eukaryota; Viridiplantae; Streptophyta; Magnoliopsida; Apiales; Apiaceae.
GGGGCGAUGGCCAAUUUCUUCGUUCUUACUCAUUUCUUGCUCAUUUCUCGCGUGCAUGUCCUUCCUCGCUCUAGUACCACUUCCGUAGGUGAUCACGGUUGCAUUUAGCAUAUGCAACAAGCCCUUUAAACCCCUAGAUAGCUCUAGUGGACGAGUGUGUUCUCGUGAGGGUUUGUAGAAGAUGUACCCACAAAAUCUCAAGCUGUGCAAUGAAUCCGCAAUUCUCUAUUCUUGCAAUAAAGUACUCAAAACAACCUCAAAAAGAUAGAAAUUCGCUUCAUCACUCCAACUCGUGACCUGGACAGAAAAACAACAAAAACAUAUCAAAAGACACAAAACACUUAAGUACAACCACCCAAUUUAAGUGGAAAUGAAGGCCUAUAAGUGUGUAUAAAUACCACUUAUCA